Molecule: ribosomal RNA, 434 nt
Filed under: uncultured bacterium
Lineage: Bacteria
Description: partial 16S ribosomal RNA
Rfam family: Bacterial small subunit ribosomal RNA
Source: RNAcentral
AGCGAACGCUGGCGGCAGGCCUAACACAUGCAAGUCGAACGAACCUUUCGGGGUUAGUGGCGGACGGGUGAGUAACACGUGGGAACGUGCCUUUAGGUUCGGAAUAACUCAGGGAAACGUGUGCUAAUACCGAAUGUGCCCUUCGGGGGAAAGAUUUAUCGCCUUUAGAGCGGCCCGCGUCUGAUUAGCUAGUUGGUUGAGGUAAUGGCUCACCAAGGCGACGAUCAGUAGCUGGUCUGAGAGGAUGAUCAGCCACAUUGGGACUGAGACACGGCCCAAACUCCUCCGGGAGGCAGCAGUGGGGAAUCUUGCGCAAUGGGCGAAAGCCUGACGCAGCCAUGCCGCGUGAAUGAUGAAGGUCUUAGGAUUGUAAAAUUCUUUCACCGGGGACGAUAAUGACGGUACCCGGAGAAGAAGCCCCGGCUAACUUCGUG